Molecule: small nucleolar RNA, 133 nt
Filed under: Myotis brandtii (Brandt's bat)
Lineage: Eukaryota; Metazoa; Chordata; Mammalia; Chiroptera; Vespertilionidae
Description: Small nucleolar RNA SNORA29
Rfam family: Small nucleolar RNA SNORA29
About the family: ACA29 is a member of the H/ACA class of snoRNA that guide the sites of modification of uridines to pseudouridines.
Source: Rfam by way of RNAcentral
CUUCCUCUGUGAAAUCAAUAAAAAUAUAUUUUAAAAAUAGACAAACAUAUGGGAUAGAUUAAAAUUGCCAUGAUCUGAAGAGGGAGGAUUUAUUUGUGUCCUCCUCCUAUAUGAAAUGGCUGAACAGAAAAAA